ACGACUUAAUUGCAUCCGGGUAUUGUAAGUGUUGAGAGUAGGCUUAGUCUUACGAUCCACUGAGAUUCAUCCCGUGUUGCGCCGAUUUGU
Molecule: non-coding RNA, 90 nt
Organism: Perkinsus marinus ATCC 50983
Lineage: Eukaryota; Perkinsozoa; Perkinsida; Perkinsidae
Source: Rfam